Long non-coding RNA from Mesocricetus auratus (golden hamster), 562 nucleotides. RefSeq lists it as uncharacterized. NCBI's taxonomy places the organism in Eukaryota, Metazoa, Chordata, Mammalia, Rodentia, Cricetidae. The record is from RefSeq and is a predicted model, not a curated record. The transcript has 4 exons.
CUGAAACUAACUUAAAAGCAGCAGAAAACUGGGAGUGGUGGUGUAUUACUGGUAGGCAAUCCAGAGAUCCUAGUUGAACACUGAUGAGUUUCCUGGUUAUGAACCUUCUGCAAGUGAUGCUUCAGCCAUGACUUAGAUGCAGUACCUACAGCUGUCACAGCUAUCUUAAAACCAUCAGCUAAAGACCAAGUGACAUGAAUGAGCUCCUAAGGCCUUCUGAGCAAUCAACUGUUUAGGGAUGACAGUGAUUCUAUCCUGGCAUAAUUACUGAAACUUGGUGUCUCUGGUGCUUGCAGGAAAACAGAUGCAACAAGGUGACUUGAGUUUGCAGAGAGACAAUGCAGCACGCCUCAAAUACAGCUCCAUUUGAUUGCAUGCUUCAUUUGCUUCCCCAUAUUUAAGACUCUGAAUAUUUGUCUAAAAACCCAGCUGAAGGCAGGGGAGAUGGAUGGCCCUGCUGCCACAGACACCUGUUAGGAAGCCUGAAGACUUGAGUUUAAGCCCCAGAAUGCACACAGAAAAUCCACACACAUACCAUGGCACACACAUGAAAUAAAUAAAG